UGUCACAUAAAAUUAAAAGCUUUUUAGUGUUUAAAAUAGCAUUUACACAUAAGCAGCUAUAUAUUAACUAUACAGACACUUGGGCUUUAAUACAAUAUCUACAAAAAAAAGAAUUCAAUUAUGCAAUAGACAUUUAACAGGAACAGUGCAGUCCAUGCUAGUAAAAGGUCACUCUUUGAGUAGAACCAAUUCUAGAAUAGGUGAUAGUCUGGGUUUUCAUUAUUUAAAAUUGUUUUACUUUUUCCCCCCCCUCUAACUGUACAUAAAUUCUUUACACAUAUUUCUAAUCACUGAUUAGAAUUAAUAAUUUUUUAAGUCAAUCUUAUUACAAUCCAGUUAAAUGCAAAACAAAAACAGUUACAUCAACUCAUCAGCUGUCAGUCUCAAGAUGGGACCGUCAAUUUGACAAGAACAAAAAAAACAAAAACAAACAAACAAACAAAAAAUAUAUAUAUAUAUAUAUCAAAAGUCAAUGCCUGUGCAUCAUUGUUUGCAAUCCAAUAUGCCUUUGGAUAAAGUGUCCAGGGACUAUUUCAUUUGAAAAGCAAAUGUGAUAACAGAAGGUCAAAAGACAACAGCGGUGCCUUUAAGACUAUAAAAUACCAUUUGCCAAUAACUUACUCCUUAGAAAGUUAAUACAUUAGGUGCGUGCAUUACCCUGACAUUCAAGUAGGAGGCGUCACCCCAAACCCUUAGCACAUGCAUGUUUCCUAAGCCACAAAGCACACCCUUGUCUUUAUUCACUGCUGCCGGCACCAAGGAAGGAACAACAGCGUGAGUCCAGCGGCAGUGCACAGACAGAUUUUCUUAGCUCUCCUUUCCGGGAUUAAAAAGCUCCUCCUCUCUUUAAGUCUCCUGUUAUGAGGUCAGCUUGCCCUGCGAAGCCCUUCUGGUAUCACACCUGCAAGUGCCUUGAAAGGUGAGCCUGUUACUUCCCACUGCAGCAGAACAGGACAGGUCAAGAUACAUUCCUGGGGUCAGGCUAGCACCAGCCCCGUGACCUGAAAGGAGCACACUACAGCGAGUCCUGCUAAGAAGAAGAUGCUCCCGGAAAGCCCCCAUCUGUUCACAUUGUUUCCACCCUGCACAGAACUUACUACGGCAAGUAGCCUCCUCACUUCCGCAGCGCCCGCCUGCCCAGUUUGCAAGGCCCCCCGAAUGGCACAGAUCAACUGGUCUGCGUUUCAAGGCAUCGGAAGGAUUUGAGAGAGAUCCUCUCUCAUCCUUCACGGAAGUUAAGUGACUUCACGGGCCGCAUUCCUGCUUCACAUGCUUUGCCACGUGCACUGACUUCAGUGGAGAUAAUCUGCUUUAUACCAGGGUAAGGUGAGGAGAGUCAGGCCCUGUGUACUAUACACCAUGGCCAUUACAUAUUGCACCGUUCAUCAAAUGUGUGUCUAUGUUCUCCCGCUGGCCUCCAGCGAAGAGAAUUUCUACGUGCUAUUCAGUAACCUGUGCGUCUGCCGGCAUGCGCGGUGCCAAGCAGAUUCUGCGUGCAUGGUCUUAGCUGGAGCCAAGUUGAACAGAACCAGGUUGAUUUUUAACUCACAACCAGAAGAGAACUUGGGAGCUUAAAUAUCCCUCAGCAGAUGAAUCCCUUCCCAUGCCUGCAGUAUGGGCUGCAUCAGCCUCCUUCCAGAGAUACCCCCCUCCCACACAGUAAUACAUAACACAAUCUUUUCAAUGUAGCAGCAAAGGCCAACAAGACACAUAACAGUUUUUCUGCCAACAGCACGUACUACAUCGACAACAGAAAAAAGAAAGGAAAAGAAGGAAAAAGAAACAAAAAUACGCCUCCCACCCCACCAACAGCAA
Gavialis gangeticus (Gharial) is the source of this 1815-nucleotide long non-coding RNA. RefSeq lists it as uncharacterized. The record is from RefSeq and is a predicted model, not a curated record. Lineage: Eukaryota; Metazoa; Chordata; Crocodylia; Gavialidae. The transcript has 2 exons.